Molecule: ribosomal RNA, 254 nt
Filed under: uncultured bacterium
Lineage: Bacteria
Description: partial 16S ribosomal RNA
Rfam family: Bacterial small subunit ribosomal RNA
Source: RNAcentral
GUCCAUGCCGUAACGAUGUCUACUAGCCGUUGGGUCUUGAGACUUUAGUGGCGCAGCUAACGCGAUAAGUAGACCGCCUGGGAGUACGGUCGCAAGACUAAACUCAAAGGAAUUGACGGGCCCCGCACAAGCAGCGGAGCAUGCGGCUUAAUUCGACGCAACGCGAAUAACCUUACCAAGGCUUGACAUAUACAGGAAUAUGGCAGAGAUGUCAUAGCCGCAAGGUCUGUAUACAGGUGGUGCAUGGUUGUCGU